UGCGUAGGCGGCGUCAUAAGUCAGGGGUGAAAGCCCACAGCUCAACUGUGGAAUUGCCUUUGAUACUGUGGUGCUUGAAUCAGGUUGAGGUAGGCGGAAUGUGGCAUGUAGCGGUGAAAUGCUUAGAUAUGCCAUAGAACACCGAUUGCGAAGGCAGCUUACUGGACCUGCAUUGACGCUGAGGCACGAAAGCGUGGGGAGCGAACAGGAUUAGAUACCCUGGUAGUCC
Molecule: ribosomal RNA, 229 nt
Filed under: uncultured bacterium
Lineage: Bacteria
Description: partial 16S ribosomal RNA
Rfam family: Bacterial small subunit ribosomal RNA
Source: RNAcentral